AUUGAACGCUGGCGGCAGGCUUAACACAUGCAAGUCGAGCGGUAACAGGAGAAGCUUGCUUCUCGCUGACGAGCGGCGGACGGGUGAGUAAUACUUAGGAAUCUACCUAGUAGUGGGGGAUAGCUCGGGGAAACUCGAAUUAAUACCGCAUACGACCUACGGGAGAAAGGGGGCAACUUGUUGCUCUCGCUAUUAGAUGAGCCUAAGUCGGAUUAGCUAGAUGGUGGGGUAAAGGCCUACCAUGGCGACGAUCUGUAGCUGGUCUGAGAGGAUGAUCAGCCACACAGGGACUGAGACACGGCCCGGACUCCUACGGGAGGCAGCAGUGGGGAAUAUUGGACAAUGGGGGCAACCCUGAUCCAGCCAUGCCGCGUGUGUGAAGAAGGCCUUUUGGUUGUAAAGCACUUUAAGCAGUGAAGAAGACUCUAGGGUUAAUACCCUUAGACGAUGACAUUAGCUGCAGAAUAAGCACCGGCUAACUCUGUGCCAGCAGCCGCAGUAA
Molecule: ribosomal RNA, 502 nt
Filed under: uncultured bacterium
Lineage: Bacteria
Description: partial 16S ribosomal RNA
Rfam family: Bacterial small subunit ribosomal RNA
Source: RNAcentral